This 5167-nucleotide long non-coding RNA is filed under the name Erythranthe guttata (spotted monkey flower). Its description in RNAcentral is "long non-coding RNA (EGUT_LNC001283)". Lineage: Eukaryota; Viridiplantae; Streptophyta; Magnoliopsida; Lamiales; Phrymaceae. The record is from RNAcentral.
UCGAUUUUCGCGCUUCAUCCGUUGGAAAACAAUCUCCAAAGCGCUGAAAUCUCCGGAAUUGGCAUGGUGUUCGAUAAGCGAGUAGAAUGUGGAGUCGCCCCUUCUGUAAGAACCAAGCUUUGGAGAAUUUACGAAUAUUUUAUCAGAUAUUGGAGGUGAAAGGAGAUAAUGGUUUACUUAGUCAAAGUUUGCUUACUUAGUCUUGUUUCUGUUUGGGAUAAGUCCUAUUCUUUAGGAAUAUUGUUAUUCCAGCUAAUGUUUAUCUCGUAGCUUAAUUUUUGCUUUCUGUUAGAAUUGUACUAGGAUAUAUAUCCCAGAGUGCACAUCAAUAAGGUUGUUCAAGUCAUUCAUUCCAUCUCUGUUGUGAGUUUAUACAUUAUUUAUUCCCAACAAAGUGGCAUCAGAGCCCCACUGGGCCUGAGAGAAAGAGACUGACUUCCAAACCAAGAGAGAUUUAAACACGAGUGUUUGAGAGAUAUGUCAGGUGAGGGUUCUUUCGUUCAACCAGCUAUUCCACGCUUUGAUGGUCACUACGACCAUUGGAGUAUGCUUAUGGAAAAUUUCUUGAGAUCCAAGGAAUAUUGGGGUUUGGUUGAGACCGGAUAUGAAGAAUCAAAAGCAGGGGAAACUCUGACAAAGGAACAACAAAAGGAGCUUGACGAUCUGAAAUUGAAAGAUCUUAAGGUGAAGAAUUACCUUUUCCAGGCAAUCGACAGAACAACAUUGGAAACCAUAUUGGUGAAGGACACCGCUAAAGAUAUAUGGGAGUCGAUGAAGAAGAAAUUCGAGGGGAGCGCCAGAGUGAAGCGCUCGGUUCUUCAAGCUUUGAGGAGAGAGUUUGAAACUCUCGAGAUGAAAUUCAGUGAAAGUAUUACUGAAUACUUUGCUCGUGUUAUGACAGUAGCUAACAAAAUGAGGGUGAAUGGGGAACAAAUGAGAGAUGUUACAAUUGUGGAGAAGAUCCUUCGAACUUUGACAGAAAAGUUCAAUUAUGUAGUUGUCUCGAUUGAAGAAUCCAAGGACAUUGAUUUACUCACAGUUGAUGAAUUGCAAAGCUCACUCAUUGUGCAUGAACAGAAGUUCCACAGAUACAAUGGAGAAGAGCAAGCCUUAAAAGUUACCGUGGACGAGAGAAACCGAGGAAGAGGACGUGGCAGAGCGAAUUUCAGAGGACGAGGUCGAGGAAGAGGGCGACUAAGUUUCUCGAAAGCCACAGUGGAAUGUUAUCAUUGUCACAAACUCGGACAUUUCCAAUCCGAGUGUCCAGCAUGGGACAAAGAGGCUAAUUAUGCUGAGUUUGAUGAACACGAGGAGAUGUUGUUAAUGGCUUAUGUAGAGGAGCAACAAGCCAACCGUAAGGACGCAUGGUUUUUGGAUUCAGGCUGUUCUAAUCACAUGUGUGGCGACGCAAUGAUGUUCAAUGAAUUAGACGAGACUUUUAGACACCAUGUGAAGUUGGGGAAUAACACCAGAAUGCCGGUUAAAGGGAGAGGAAAUGUCAAAUUGCAAGUGAAUGGCUUCAAGCAUGUCAUUACGGGAGUGUUCUACGUGCCGAAACUAAAGAACAAUCUUCUGAGUGUAGGCCAGUUACAAGAAAAGGGACUUGCAAUCCUAAUCGAGGCGGGAAUGUGCAAGAUCUACCACCCAGAAAAGGGUUUGAUUAUUCAAACCAAGAUGUCAGUAAAUCGAAUGUUCAUCUUGUUUACAAAUGUACAAGAAAGGAAGGUUGCAUGUCAUUACACUAGUACGCAAGAUCUCACUCACUUAUGGCACUGCAGAUAUGGUCAUCUCAGUCAUAAAGGUUUAAAAACGCUACAAACCAAGAAUAUGGUACGCGGACUGCCUCAUUUGCCGGCCACCACAAUGAUGUGUACUGAUUGUUUGAAGGGAAAGCAACACCGAGAUCCUAUACCUAAGGAAGGUACCUGGAGAGCAACUCAAAAGCUGGAGCUCAUACAUGCAGACAUUUGCGGUCCAAUAAAUCCUAUGUCAAAUAGCCAAAAGAGGUAUAUAUUAUGCUUUAUCGACGACUUCAGUAGGAAAGCAUGGGUUUAUUUCUUAGUUGAAAAAUCAGAAGCUUUAAAUUCAUUUAAAUGCUUUAAGAAAUUGGUCGAAAAAGAAACAAAUAUGAAUAUCAAGUGUUUGCGCACCGAUAGAGGAGGUGAAUUUACAUCAAACGAGUUUAAUGAUUUUUGCAGACAAAGUGGCAUCAAAAGACAACUUACAGUUGCUUAUACUCCACAGCAAAAUGGAGUGGCGGAAAGGAAAAACCGAACGGUGAUGAAUUUGGUUCGUUCAGUUCUUUCCGAAAAGAAGAUUCCAAAAAACUUUUGGCCUGAGGCAGUGAAUUGGAUCAUCUAUGUACUAAAUAGAAGCCCUACAGUAGCUAUCAUGAAUGUCACACCGGAGGAAGCAUGGUCUGGGAUAAAGCCCUCAGUGGGACAUUUUAGAGUCUUCGGGUGUAUGGCUCACGUCCACGUGCCAGAAGCUAAGAGAACCAAACUCGAGAACAAGAGCUUCGAAUGUAUUCUUCUUGGAGUUAGUGAAGAAUCGAAGGGGUACAGAUUGUAUGAUCCAAUAUCGAAAAGAGUGGUGACCAGCAGAGAUGUAGUGUUUGAAGAAGAUAGACAAUGGAAGUGGGAUGCAAAUUAUGAAGAACACGUGUUAGUGGAUCUGGAAUGGGGUGACGUUGACACUAAUACACAUGAGCAUGAGAUAGAUAAUGAUGAUUCAGCUAGUGAAAGCGAUGAAGGGGCUGAAAUCAACGAAGAAGAUCAAGCAUCGGAGAAUGAUACUACAAAUUCAGCGACUCAAGAAUCUAAUGCGAGGACAAGGAGAAUUUCUAAGGCUCCUGUUUGGAUGGAGGACUAUGUUAGUGGAGAUGGUUUAUCCGAGGAAGAAAGUGAACUGCAUAUGGCCUUAGUUAUCUCCGCAGAUCCUAUUAGUUAUGAAGAAGCCGUGAAGAACUCAAAGUGGAGAUUGGCAAUGGACGCGGAAAUUAAUUCCAUUGAGAAAAAUCAGACAUGGACUCUUAUUGAGUUGCCUGCUGGAUCUAAAAGUAUUGGAGUCAAAUGGAUAUACAAAACGAAGUUGAAUGAGCUAGGAGAAGUUGACAAAUAUAAAGCUCGAUUGGUGGCCAAGGGAUACUCUCAACAACAAGGAGUAGAUUUCACCGAAGUAUUUGCUCCAGUAGCUCGAAUGGAUACGAUAAGGAUGAUAGUAGCAACUGCUGCCCAAAGAAAUUGGAAAAUCUACCAGCUAGAUGUUAAAUCGGCAUUUCUCCAUGGUGAACUCAAUGAGAACGUGUAUGUGGAACAGCCAAAGGGUUACGAAAAGAAGGGAAGUGAGCAUAUGGUAUAUAAGUUGCAUAAAGCUUUAUACGGAUUAAAACAAGCUCCUCGAGCUUGGUUUAGUCGUAUUGAAGCUUAUUUCAUCAGUGAAGGUUUCCAGAAGUGCCCAAACGAGCAGACCUUAUUCACAAAAAGAAGCAGCGAAGGUAAAGUGUUGAUAGUUAGUAUUUAUGUGGACGACUUGAUCUAUACCGGUGAUGAUGAAAUUAUGAUGUUUGAAUUUAAGAGGUCUAUGAUGAAAGUCUUUGACAUGACAAAUUUAGGAAAUAUGAGAUUUUUUCUCGGCAUUGAGGUUUUGCAAAAGUCUGAUGGCAUUUUUAUCUGUCAAAGAAAAUAUGUUAACGAAGUUUUGAGGCGUUUUGGAAUGAUUGAAAGUAAACCAGUGAGUAGUCCAGUUGUGCAAGGAUCCAAAAUAAGCAGAGAUGAUGACGGACCACCGGUUGAUGAGACGUAUUUCAAGCAAUUGGUAGGGAGUUUGAUGUACCUCACUGCAACUCGUCCGGAUAUAAUGUUUAGUGUUAGCCUGAUCAGUAGGUACAUGGCUAAACCCACUGAACUUCACUUGCAGGCUGCGAAGAGGAUUUUGAGAUAUUUAAAAGGCACAACCAACUACGGAAUUAUGUACAAGAAGGGAGGGGAAGACGAAAGUAUACAUGCUUUUACAGAUAGUGAUUAUGCAGGUGAUGUUGACGAUCGUAAAAGCACAUCGGGCUAUGUAUUUAUUUUGAGUUCAGGAGCAGUUUCAUGGUUGUCAAAGAAACAACCCAUAGUCACUUUGUCAACAACUGAAGCCGAAUUCGUGGCAGCUGCUACUUGUGCAUGUCAAGCUAUAUGGAUCAUGAGGGUGUUGAAGAGAUUGGGUCAUACACAAGAAGGUUGCACUACUAUUAUGUGCGAUAACAGUUCGACGAUUAAGCUCUCUAGAAAUCCAGUUAUGCACGGAAGAAGUAAGCACAUUGAUGUGCGUUUUCACUUCUUGAGAGAUCUUACAAAGGACGGCAAAGUUGAAUUGAUUCACUGUGGAACUCAAGAGCAGGUGGCUGACUUGAUGACUAAACCAUUGAAACUAGAAGCUUUUCGGAAAUUCAGAGAGCUACUGGGAGUUUGUGAACUUAUAGAUGUAAACUAAUUGUACUCUGCAAUUGGUUUAAGGGAGGGAUUGAAAGGAGAUAAUGGUUUACUUAGUCAAAGUUUGCUUACUUAGUCUUGUUUCUGUUUGGGAUAAGUCCUAUUCUUUAGGAAUAUUGUUAUUCCAGCUAAUGUUUAUCUCGUAGCUUAAUUUUUGCUUUCUGUUAGAAUUGUACUAGGAUAUAUAUCCCAGAGUGCACAUCAAUAAGGUUGUUCAAGUCAUUCAUUCCAUCUCUGUUGUGAGUUUAUACAUUAUUUAUUCCCAACAGGAGGAACCUCAAAAUUAGGUUCGAAUUCUCGUCGAGCAGUUACUACCAUGGUUCGCCGGUGACGCAGCUGUAGCCGCCGGAACGGUGGUCACCGCGACAGAGUUCCGGCAUACAGCGGCUGCCGUGUUCUAAAAAUCUAAAAUAAGCGAUUUAUCGGCCGGAACGGUGAUAUACGGCGGCGAUUAAUCGGACGGAAAGGGGUCGAACGGCUUCUGGCGGUGUUUGUCGCGGCGGCGGAAAUGGGGUUUAGGGCUGGUGAAGCCGACAAUUUUACAAUAGUUCUGAUUUUCACUUUACGUUUUCAAAUGUUUCCAACUUAGUCCCUAAAUUUUAUGAUUUAUAUUCAAAUAAAGAAAUAGGAUAAAUUACACGGGUAAAUUACAAACACCCCCCUGAGGUAUGACCAAAUUACAAAAAUAC